GACUCUCGGCAACGGAUAUCUCGGCUCACGCAUCGAUGAAGAACGUAGCAAAAUGCGAUACUUGGUGUGAAUUGCAGAAUCCCGUGAACCAUCGAGUUUUUGAACGCAAGUUGCGCCCAAAGCCUUUCGGCCGAGGGCACGUCUGCCUGGGCGUCACAC
Molecule: ribosomal RNA, 159 nt
Filed under: Sinacalia tangutica
Lineage: Eukaryota; Viridiplantae; Streptophyta; Magnoliopsida; Asterales; Asteraceae
Also listed under: 15 other names
Description: 5.8S ribosomal RNA
Rfam family: 5.8S ribosomal RNA
About the family: 5.8S ribosomal RNA (5.8S rRNA) is a component of the large subunit of the eukaryotic ribosome. It is transcribed by RNA polymerase I as part of the 45S precursor that also contains 18S and 28S rRNA.
Source: RNAcentral